GAUAAAAGAACAUUCAAAAAGUGAAACUUUGAUGAAGAAAGAAGAAAAGAGAAUGGAAGAGUGAAGACCCACCUGCAGGAAGGUGAAAAGAAGUUGAUUUGUUGGCCCUCAUGGUAUGAGAACGAGCUAAUGCUUCAGAAAUAUUUGUGUUGCAAGUGAAGAGAAACACAGUAGAAAGGAAUAAUAGCCUAGACAGAGUUGAAAGGUUUGUGAGAUGGUAAGAACAGAGACAGGUCUAUAAGUAGAGGUGAUGAACAACAACAUACAGAGACCAUGGCGGCUAUCUAUCAUUUCUCCUUUUUCCUUAAAAAUCAAAUUUGCUUCUUCAUCUUGACCACAUUUUGGGUCAGUCAAUUAUUCAAACAAGUUGUGGGCAAGCAAAACAAACAACGACUACGGCAGAAGAAUGAAAGCAUUCAACAAACAAACACCUGAAUCGAGUCAAUUCCUUCGGCAUCCAAAAUUAUUAGUUUGUGACCCUUAGAGGGUCAAAAAUAUAAGGCAAAUGCUAAAUAGUGUCCUCGGGGC
RNAcentral lists this long non-coding RNA (528 nucleotides) under Trifolium pratense (red clover). RNAcentral's name for it is "long non-coding RNA (TPRA_LNC005306)". Lineage: Eukaryota; Viridiplantae; Streptophyta; Magnoliopsida; Fabales; Fabaceae. The record is from RNAcentral.